Long non-coding RNA from Numida meleagris (helmeted guineafowl), 11170 nucleotides. RefSeq lists it as uncharacterized. The transcript has 2 exons. Lineage: Eukaryota; Metazoa; Chordata; Aves; Galliformes; Numididae. The record is from RefSeq and is a predicted model, not a curated record.
GUGUGACCCAGUGCCUCUCCAACCUGCAGCAGGGCAUUGCUGCCUAUUGCUUAACAACUACCUACAAAACACAAAUUAAGUGAAACUCCAGCGACCUUCGUUGGCACAAGUAAGUUCCACGCAAACCAACCAAAAUAACAGCCCUUGGAAAUAUGACGAGUUCUGGGGACAAAAAAUUCUCACACUCUUUCCUCUACUACUGAAUCUGCUUGCACCUGGAGGUAUGAGAGGAGGAACCCCAACCACACACAUACACAUGCAGCUUCUCAGCAGACCACCAGCAACUGCUGAGCCAGAAGAUGCAGCUGGAGUCCAGCAACCCUCCACAAGCAAUGAAGCACCAAUGGGUCAGAUUUUAUGGUGUCAGCCCAAAUUCAGUAACAACAUCACAGAGUGUAUAUCCAUCAGCCAAGCCAGCUGUUCUCCCAAGUUCCAGAGAGCCUUUAGCUACACUGCAUGGAAUUGCUGCUCUCCACAUGGAACAUGUCGUUAAGAGCACAGUCUGCCACGACAACUACAACAGCACUGCACAUUUUUGGUGUGAUAAGCUAUAGUUAAGAGUAGAAAAGUACUGCUUUGUGAGCUGAAAAGCAAAUCAAACAAUGAGCGAUGCAGCUGGAAACUUCAGGCCAAAGGUUCUAAUACCUGAUGUUGUUUCCCAGAACAAAGGAUCAUGUACGCACACUACAGACACCUUCUGUUUGGAGCAAUGCUAACACAUUAUCUCUUAUGGGCACUGCACAUGAAGUGCCCUGCACCCUCACCCACCCAUGAGAUGGCCUGAAUCUGGAUCCACACUGCCUCCAAAUACCUUUCCGUAUGGACAGGACCAGAAAACAACAGAGCAGCCAAGCAAGUCACCCCAUUAUGCAACAGACGGUGAAACUAUUUGUGCCAGUACGCUGUGGUUUUCAUUCCUCUGAAGGCUGCUUUCCUCCAGGGGAUUCCAGUAACGGGACUAACUGAAGUGUGUUUUGACAAGCUAUAACAGCACAGAAAACCCACCUAUGAAAUUACUUCCUGGUAGCAUCUUCCAAAGUAAACAGAAAUCUUGGUAUCACCGUUCAUUUGGGAAACUCCUAUGCCAUAGCUUUCAUUUGUUAUGAGAACAUAGCUUGAGGGGUUUUUUUGCAGAUAACAAGUGUUGUUAUAGGUAAUGAUUUCAAUCCCCACCACCACUAGGUGUUUGUACCUGCACGGGCCUUACAUAUAUAAUCUCCUGCAAGUAUAAAAAUAAUAAAAUAUGAAAAUAAUAAAAAGAUGCAGUCUGAAUUUCUUUUCAUUUCAUCUACUUUCUUUCACUUUACAUAAUAACAGUAAGCACAAGGGUCACUCUUUCUGUGUCAUGUUCUUAGAUUACUCCAAAAGAUUUUGUCUCUGCCUGUUCGUGCAGAUAGAUCUUUGGUUGCCAUUAUAGCAGGUUUUAGGAGUAGAUAAUCCACGACAUCCAUGACUGUGCUUUCCCCUGUCCUGACCAACAUGUGCCAGCAGAACUGGAAACAGCCUGCAGAGGGUGGACAGGGGCAGAGCACAGCUGGAUCUAAGCUAAAUAGAGAAUAGCCAGCCCAGUUCCUCCUUGUUAAAAUGGAGAUUUUUGCAUCAUGGCUGAUUUUAAGCUAGAACCUGUUUAAUACAGGGCAAUGUCUUCUAUACAAGUAAUUUAGAGUUAGAGGGCAGACGGCUCCAGUACCAGUAACCGUCUCCUCUUCCCCUGACAAGCUUUAAAAUGCUCUUUUUCAGAGCAUUUUGGAAAGCGAGCAACCAGGAGUACGGAUGCACUGACUCAGCUCCUGCUCCUGAGCUCGGCUGCAGCUUGGACCAGUGAGCACAGACCAUCAAUAUCUACCAGAAAGACAAAGGAGACAGCAGCAGUGAAAAGGAAGGAAGUCCCACACUAAAACAUUUCACUUUUCCAUAUUUUUCUUCCUGAAUAUCCCAAAACAUAAAGCAGACACAUUUUUUGCAGAAGUGACCAGGCUUUAUUAAAGACAGGAUAUUGAUAUGAAACAUUCAUGGCCCUCAACUUAGCAGUAUUUCUUCUGGAUGGGGUAAUGAAGCGAAUUUAUUACACAUCAGUGCCAAGAAGCUCAUAAUAAAAAUACAGAUUAUGGUUCUCAGAUUCAUCAACUCAAACCAGAUACAUUUGAAAAAAUACACUAUAGCAGCAGGAAGAAUGUAAGAUACUUGAGUUACCGAAGCUGCAUAUGAAAUACAUAUUUUAUCCAACAACAGGAUACAAAGUAAAUUAUUUGAUUUAAAAAUUCCGGAACAAAGGCACUCAGUGAAGACAUGAGAAGGAGAUCCCUUCUCGUGUUAUCCCAGGUGCAGGGCGUAAGGAGGAAGAUAUAUAGUUGUGUUGGACAUAAACAAAACAUGCAGAUUUUAUUGCAUUUCAAGUUGCUGAUUUUACGAGACUUGAUAUGAAAUAAUAAAGCAUGGAUGAAGCAAGAUAGAGAAAUACUGCCACUUCUCAGGAAGCUUGGCUUCAGAGAAAGUUCAGGCAGAACACAGCCACAGCAAGCCUUCCAAUGAUUCUGUCCCGAUUGCUUGGUCUCCUGUUUUUCUCCGUUUCUGACCUUUGCUUCUUUCUUUGCUGUGUCACAUCUACUGGAGAAUCAGCCAAGGAGGAUCCAUUUAUUAAAUUCCUAAUAGUGUGCUUUGAAUACUUCAUUAUGCCUCUGCCACAUUCUCUGUAACAAAGGAAGACCUCUCUUCAAAACGUUCCCAGAGCUUCCCUGCAUUGCAUCUGCACGGCUUACAUGGCCUCAGGAAGACGUAACAUGUGAGCAUGCUGCGAAAGAAACUAUGGAAAGUUUCCAUACAUCACAGUAUAAGAGACCAACCAGGUAACGACUCAACACUCUUCAAUUCCAGACAUGCUACAAAAGGAUUAGUUUAUUUUUAUUUUAGUGCCAAGUAUUUCCAGGGCUUCUAAUUCCUCACUUCUUCCAGCUCACCCUCAGGAAAAGCAAUGAAAAGAAAAACAAAGCAAAAUAAAACAAACAAGCAAGUACCACGGUGUUUCUAAUUUCUCUCCAAUACAGAACAUGCAAAAAAAGCAUUUAAAGCUGGUUUAGUUUUGGGAAAUUACUAAUCAUGAGACCUCUAGUGCAUGUCUGUGUUUAGCAGAGAACGUAAUGGAAAAAAAAAGAGAGCAUUAGUGACUCUCCAAGAAAGAUUUCAUGAAAACAAGGUGGAAGGGAGUUUGUUUGGUUUUAAUGUUUCCCCAGCAGCAUCUCUAAUCCAAACAUUACAACACAGGUCAAAUGGAGGGAAGCCAGAAAAUGAAAUGCAUUAAAAAUAGCCCUUAAAAAGGAAAGUGAAAGUGACCAGUCUCCUUCCACCUUUUCUGACCAUGAAAUACAAAUUCUGUGACAAAAACAAAAUUUGGGUUCUGGUACGAUCACUGACUGUCAGUAAACACUGCAAUCUAUGCAUGGGAAGUCCAACAGAGAACUAUAUAUCCAGCUGCUAAAGUCCUUCCAGACUUAGAGAUCCAGCCCGGUACAACUACUUGUAAGUAAACUUAGGUUAAAAUAUUUCAUUUGCUGUCUGACAGUAUUGAUUUAAAAAUCAUGUUAUAUCAAACAGCUGCAAGGUGCCUGUAGUUUUAACACAUCAACUUAGUCCUACAAGUCAGUGCUACAAAAAAGUAACGACUGUUCCACCACACUUAAUGAUCUGUCCUUUGCCCUUUGUCCAGCACUUCCAAGCUGCCUCCUCACAGAUAGAAGUCCAGCAAAGCUCUCUCACAAUUACUGUCACCAAGAUCAGAAAAACAGCAUCUGGCAGCUGCCUUGGUAGUAAUUUAUAACCAUAAGGUUAAGCCUUAACGGAUCCAUACCCCAGAUAACAGCCUGGUUCACACAUUGCAAUACUCAAGUUUUCUUCUAGAUGUUCCUUUGAACUGAAGGAAAUUAACCUUUUUAAUGUUUGAUAACACUCAGACUUCGUAUCCUGAUGCCGAUGCAGGCUCUUUCUCCUUUAUUGCAUGGGGCCUCAAGGUUUAAGAAGUUGAGGGAAGAGAGAGCAUCGUGGCAAUGGAAAGCAGUGACACUGUCUCUAACAGAUUCUCAUAGACAAGCUUAGCCACAAUCUCCCUCAAUGCCUCUCAAACUGGCAAUAUUGCAAAAUGCCUAUACAGCAAUCUUUCUCCCUCCUUCAGCUGCUCUUUGAGAACAAGGCAUGCAGCAUUCAACAGUGAACCAGAGGGCUAAGCAUUAAAUUGCCUGAAAGACAAAGCACUUGAGGCCCAAACAAGCAAAAGCCUUCAUCAAAGAAAGAGCAAUUCCAAACCUCUUGUCAAGCAUCACUGAGGGAAAGAAGUGAUCUUACAGGAGGAUGACGCAACUCGAAGCAACAAAGUAAGAAACGUUCGAUUUGGGAGAAGAGUUGGAUGCAUUCUCGGAGGACGCAGACAAAGCUUGAUACGUCAAUCUCUGUGGAGGAAACGAGGCUGGAGGGAGACUCCCUCAGAGGCUGGGGAGGGAACUCCUGUCUAUCCUGCCAUGUCAUCCUGUCAUCACAAGGGAACAGCAACAAAGGAUAAAAACGGAGAAAAGACAAGUUCUCUAUUUUGGAAUUCACCCAGAGAGGGAAACUUGUUCAAAUGCUGCAAGCUGAUCACUUCAGACUUCUGAAAGGAGCAAGGCCUGCAUCUCUUGAAAGGAACAGCCACACAUAAACAGUGCUCCAGGGAAAAGACGUAGAUGAAAGGUAUUGUGCUGUGUGCUUAAAAUGGAAAGAGAGAACUGCUCCAAACAGCUAAGAGCUCUGCAGAGAUCUGAACAAAGGGAAAAUAGGAAGUGCAGCCCUGAAGGAUUUCAAAGACUAGAUUUUGAUAGGGCUUUACGUAUCUUCCUUAAUGAACACGAUCCAAAAUGGCUGGCAGAUUGAGCAACAAACUGCUUACAGAGAUGAGAGGUGCCAAGCCGUGAUCUUCUGGAGACCUGGAGCACCUAGCAGAGGGUUACCAGGGGCCUCUGGUCAGCAUUCUCAGCCCAGAAUCUUGUUCCAUAGCUGGACAAACCCUUAAUUUCACAGGUGAACAAUGCUACAGUCCUCUCUGCUAACACCUGAGCACCAGUGCUGCUGCUGACCCACUUUGUCCAGUAUCCCUGGGUCUGAAGAGUUUGAAGCCACACCACUCGGUUCCCAGAAGCGCUCAGCCCUCCCAUUCCCUCCAGUGAAGCUGUUGUGGCUGCUGGCUGGCACAGGGAGCACAAGUGGCCUUCUGGCCUCCUGCCUAGGUGCUGGGAGCCCUCCCUCUCGGCUGGAGAGAACCCUGCCCCCCCUCACAACCCUCACCAAGCUCCACAGUUUUAGGAUGAUAACAAAGUCAGUUCUGAAGACUUACAGGGCAAACCUUCCCUUCAGACCAGAGGUUUCUGGAGGGUUUGCAGUGACCAGAAAACCUCUGGGCCUGAGCUGCAGAAGGAGAUGAGUCUCACUCGGAGCACCACGAAACUUCCUGUCACAGCAAUCCCAGCGGAAGCCAGGGAGGAAAUGGGAAAAUUGAGUCAAUUGAGUCAGCAGUCGUGGCCAGGAAUAUCUUUGGUUUCUAAACUGCCUGAUUGAAAAAGGAAAAAAAAAAAAAAAAAAAAGAGAGAGAGAGAGAAAAAGGCUGUGGUAGAAAAAGCCCAGUCAAUCAAUUAGUCAGUCAUUUCCAGUUCAAAUAUUUCCAUAAGUGCUUGGCAGUGAUUUCUAUGCAAGGGAUGUCUACUGCUGGUGAAAGAUUUCUUAGAUGGCAGAGAAUUCCUCUUGAUGACAAACUCUCCUCAGACAAACUCCAGUCUAGGCAAUUUCCCUUUGGAAGCCCUUGCAGCUUGUUAAUUUGUUCAAGGAUUCUGCGCCUUCUUAAAAGAAAAGCCAGUUGGCUAUCGGUGGCAUUUGUAAACCUGAUACACUGAGAGAGAGAGACAGUACUGAAGUGUAGGAAAAUUCCUAAAUUUAAGACACCAGCAGCAUAUUAUGUAUUUGACCUGAAUACUGUGCCUUCAGAGAAAACAUUUACACAAGUCCUUGAUGUGUCCCAAACAGCUCUACAAACAAGCUGUGUUUAAGAAUAAUUUUGCCUAUUACUGAAAUUCAGCCGCAUCUGAAUUAUAAUGUGGCAGCUGAAAGCUGGUUAACUGAAACAGAAAAGCAUACAGCUAAAUGUAAAGAUAAGUACUGCAAUCUUAUAUAUUCUGAUAACCUGAGCUCCCCUUAAAGUUCUAAAAUCUAAUUAAUUUGAGAUUUGGCGGUUGUUUGAAUGUAGGCAUCUCUUCUUACAGAAAAUAUUGUGGGUUUUUAGCCAGUCCCACAAGCUCAGUACAGAUUAACAAGAUAAGGAGUUCACGAUCUGGCUCUGUAAGCAGGCGUCAGCGAUGUUCUGUUUAUUAAAGCUAUAUUAAAACAUAUAUGAGCAUCACGGCAGUUCUGUCACCUUUUGCUGAUGAGCGAUGUCCUUUGAUCACCUUCAAGGCUUGGUGCACUAAUCAAAUUGGUCUUGCAGGUUUGCUGAAAAGAAGGCUUGCCAAGAAUCUAGAAGCUGUUCUUUUAUCCACGUCUUCGUCACAGCCAGACAGCUGCCUUACAAGUCAAGCAAUAUGCAUAUGAACAUAACAUGCCUGAGUCCAAACUGGAGAGCAGGGCACAGCCAGGCUCUGAUUAUUAAUCCCAGAUAGGACCAUACUCCCACAACGGGAUGUACACAACAGCAAGCACGCAAGUAGGAUUAUGAAAACUAAUGACGCAAAACAAAUUUUAAUUAUAGCACGUAAGUGUUUCCAUCGGGCAAAAAUGUUUGAAAAUAUAUCCUCAUUUAUUCCUAAACUUCAAAAAGCAUUCACAGUGCCAAUAAUGGAGGAUCUGCAAUCGCAGCACUUGCUGACUUUGUCUUAUUUUUCUUAAUUGGUUAUGCUGGCAAACAACAUAUGAGGAGAAAUGAUAAAUACUCCACAUCCUGAAGAAUGCUCUAAUGCUUUCUUUUACAGAGAUCUAAAUGAUGCCAUUUCUCAGAGGUUUGGGGAAGGGGAGUUGAGUUUUUUUUUAGCUCUGAGAUGGGAAGUGAAGUACUCAUCAGCUGCAAAGUGCUGCUUUAAUGUUACCCAUGCAACAAUUACCUCUGCAAUAAUCUUCACGACAUUAAAUUACAUACUAUCCUUCCUCAGCUGGAGAAUAAAACAAAAAAAAACACAAAACACUGGAAAUCCAUUGCACAGCACAGUGCCUGUAUUAUGAAGAUGAAGAUACUCGCUGCAAGGAAGCCACGUAUCUCUCAAGAGCUCCCUGCCUUUGUUUGAAGUCUUCAGUAAAACCUAAGUGAAGUCACCUCACCUAUUCCAAUAUUCACUUCACUUAUGCAGUGUCAUUGCUGAAAAUAUGUAUUUAUUCAAGGAUGUUACCAUAACCAGUCAUGAGGAGUUAAAUAACGAAGACAAUUUUGCCAUCAUAAUUACUAAUAAUUCUUGUAGCAACCCAAAUAUUCUCAUGAGGUCUCUUUCCAUAUAGAGCAGAGGUUUACUAGUUCCCUUACUUUCUCUAAAUAACCCAUAAUGGUCUGUGUCUUUCUAUUCCAUUCUAAAAACAUGUCUGUCUGUACUUACUAGCUUUUAGCAAACACGCAUAGCUAUUAAAACCUUGAGUUUUAAAAGUGUAAUUUGCUCUGAAAAGUGCCUCAUCAAAAAUACAUUACAAUUCUGCACAUUUUAUGCGUUAGCGACUUACAGACAAAAUUAAUUCCAUUUACAAGGUAUAGGCUCGGGGGGAACUUUUGGCAGCGCCUUUUCUUCUCAGCCCCACUGACUACCUAGGCGCUGAAACCUCAGCUGUACUCUUUGCUGUAGUCAUUAUGUCACUGGUAAGAGCAGCUAUGCAGGAUAAGAUCUGCAUUUAAGAGAACAGAGCAGCGUAAGCAAAAGCAGAAAGUAAUAACUGAGAAACAAGUUAAUUCAGUGACACUGUAUAUGAAAUAGUUCAUAACUAAACAAACUAAUCAGCAUUCUGGAAAAAAAAAAAGGAACAAAAAAGGGACAGGUGGGUUUCAAGAUGUUGUGGGCAGAGCACAUUCCUCAUUGAUGGGUAAAUCUCUAGCAAGGCCAUGAGCAACCAGAGCACCAGCAGUGAGGGAAGGUUGAGAACACUUGUACAACAGAGGUGGACAUUUACAGAGCUGACUGAAAAGCUGAAGGGUUCUGCUCUGAGAUCUGCAGCCCCAGAGCACAGCUUGAAUACUAAAUUACGGAUAUCCUUUGCACCCUUCAACUGGCAACGUGCUGUGCCAAGGCAGGUGGCUCGGCAUGCCUACAGCAGGCCCAGCCUGUGGCAGCUCCCUGCUCUGGUUCGAGUGACGUAUCUGGCUAUAGAUUUGUGAAGGUCUCCCUCAGCUGGACCAACAACAUCGAUCACGUGUAUAACCAGCAUGCUCACUGGAAAGAAUGUGGAACUGCUUACGCUCUUUGACAUAUAUUUACACUGUGAAGCAAGUGCCAGCUGCUGAAGUCUCAGUAGAGAGAGGAUACUGCUAGUUGUGUCCUGGCUAGUUUGGAUCUCUGAAAGUGAUCAUGGCUUGCUUUCUUCAGCCUUUAGAAAUCUUGCUGAAACCAGUUCCUCACUGAGAAAGAAAAGGAGACCACAAACAGCAAGACAGCGAUCAGUGUCUUCCAUAACAUCCUUAUAGAAAGAAGCCAGUGAGCAUGGAACAGAGCCAGCAGCCUUGGAACCAGCGACUGAGAGCAGAAAAGCGGGCAGUGUUCAGGAGUUUGGAAGAUGAAGGUUUUUCUUAUUGUUUUUGGUGUUACAAAUGUAAGGCAACGAUGAGAAAACAGUAACAGUGACGACGGCAGUGGUGGCGUAGACCCAAAUAAUCACAAAGACACCAAAAUGACUGGACACUGAAAAUGAGAUGCCCCUUACCCUCGACUGGGUACACGACAGAUGCUUUUUAUGCAGGAAGAGUACUGGUACAGCCCAAUAACUUGACAGAGACUUGGCACAGAUCUGCAAACCAAACUACACCAAAACCAAAAGAAGCCCCUAGGUUAGGAUGCUGAGAAUGAGACCUGCCAGCAGUGGAGGAAAACAGCAUUACAAGAAAGGAAAAGAACAGAAACACUGAGGGACUGGACACUGAGGAACAGCCUGACAGCGCUCUGGAGACCGCAGCUUACAUGGAAAGCAGGGUGAUCUAUGGACAGAAGAGCUGGAAGAGAAAGGAGUCAGCUACGUACUGACACUGGGAACAGGAAAAAAAGACAUUUAUAGAUGAAGGGAGACUGUUGUUAAGAAGAUCUGCAAAGCAUGUCAUACGACUAGAUCUAGGAAAAAAAGAAUGGUGUGCCCAAUGGCUACAGGAUACGGAACUAAGAACGAUCCUGAAAAAUCUUCUGUUUUAAUGUAUGACAAUGAGCAAACGAAUGUCAGUGAAGGAAAGGAAAGACAAAAAUGAGAAAGAAAACAUUCAAUACUGCAGAGAGCAGUAAUUGAAAGGAAACACAGGAUUAUACCUAAUUCAGCGAGGGAAAUGGAUGUGGUUAGCGAGAAACAAGUGAAAUGUUUGUGUACUAAUAAUACUUAGGCCGUGGACCAGAAAAGGAAAAGAGGAAUUUUAAUUGCUGGUGCAAAAUGUGAAGCAAUACUUCGAAGGAAUAACAGAAAAUGCCAUCAGGAUGGGAACACAACUAUGUUCAGGAGAAGUAAAAACACAAGUAAAAAAUGAUGGAAAAGAAUUGAACAUCAAUAGUAUCAAUAGCAGUGUGAUAGCAAGGAAUACCACUGACAACACAAAACCUGUUUAGAGGAAGGUGGGCUCUGCAGCAGGCUAGGUUCCUUUGCAGCAGAUAUUUUUCCCACUUUUCCCCAAAGACUCAAAAAACCUUAGACUCAAAAAACAGAAUUCCUAGCAGAAAAUGAGACUUUAAUUUAGGAGAUACAGAUAGUAGAACACAUGGGACAGCAGGAGAGUGGAGAUUUCUGGAUGUGAGAUCCUAGGUCUCUCUUUACCAACAACUCCCUUAACAAGAGGGCCUGUAGGUAAUCUCAGGGUUGAUUUUGGAAGGAGUAAAGAUAUCUGUAAUAGAACUGGAUUAAGAAAAUAAUUACAUGUUGAGAGACCGUUAUUUAUGUUUUUUCUAAUUAAACAGAUGAGCAAAAUACCUGUCAUGAAAGUUCAGGAUUUCAAAGGGCAAGUUUGACAAACUAAAAGAAAUCAGUUAUUAAAUAAUCACCUGUACUGAGGAGAUACCAAAUAGGAGGAUCUAACUGACCUGUAAAAGCAUAGCUACAGAAACAAAACUGAAAAAGCUGAGCAAAGACGAACAAACUGAAAAAGAUGAACAAAAGGGCUAAAAGCAAAAAAUUCUGCCAUGAACUGGAAACUCAUCACCUGGAAAUGUCAAAGAAAAAUCCAUAAAAUCGAACAGAUAAUCACCCUGAAAUAAUCAUAAAAGGCGAAGAUACUUCAGAACUGUUUCAGAUGGGCUUCUGUAAGAUACAAAUCACUGCCAUUGGGCAAAGCUUUGGAAAAAAAGAGCUCACCUCCAGCACUGAGAAAAGGUUUUAUUGCUCAUUUAUAUUGAAGGAAACUGGACUCAAACUGGUGCAGAGCAGGGUUAUUAGAACGGUGAGAGGAACAGACUAGCCUCUGAGGAGCUUGGCUUGAUCAGACUCAGAAGGAGUAGGCUGAGAAGGCUACAAGAUUUGUCUCUAUAAAUGUAUCACAGAGGAUGUAAAAGAUUUAUUUAAGCAAAAUGACAAUGUUAAGAACAAGUGGCUAUAAACAAGCCACAAUGAAAUUUCAGUUGAAGUUAGAAGAAGGCCUCUAGCCUGACCACACUGAGGUUUUGAAGCAUGUUUUUAAUAACAGUAGUGAAGACAAAGAACUUAACGAGAUUUUGAUCACUUUGCAAAUGGAACAGCAGGAGGAGGUUGCCUGGAACAGUGAGAGAAUGAAUGCUAGGUUCAGGAAAUCUUUUCCAUUCCUAAUUUAAAUAAAAAUUUGUUCACUGAAACUUGGCAGAAGUUAUUUAAUACUGUCUUUUAAUGGAUGUCUUUGUUACUUCAUGAAAUGUACUUUAAAGGAUUGUUAAAAAGAAAACCUGUCUGUUGAAAGACAGCAUUGUAUUUUUAUGAUAUACAAACAAUAAGUAUCCUGGAAUCCUAACGAGUACAUUAAAAGCCAUUAAAAUCA